GAUGAAGAACGUAGCGAAAUGCGAUAAGUAAUGUGAAUUGCAGAAUUCAGUGAAUCAUCGAAUCUUUGAACGCACAUUGCGCCCGCCAGUAUUCUGGCGGGCAUGCCUGUCUGAGCGUCAUUUCAACCCUCAUGCCCCUAGGGCGUGGUGUUGGGGAUCGGCCAAAGCCCGCGAGGGACGGCCGGCCCCUAAAUCUAGUGGCGGACCCGUCGUGGCCUCCUCUGCGAAGUAGUGAUAUUCCGCAUCGGAGAGCGAUGAGCCCCUGCCGUUAAACCCCCAACUUUCCAAGGUUGACCUCAGAUCAGGUAGGAAUACCCGCUGAACUUAAGCAUAUCAAUAAGGGAGGA
Molecule: unclassified non-coding RNA, 347 nt
Filed under: soil metagenome
Description: partial contains 5.8S ribosomal RNA, internal transcribed spacer 2, and large subunit ribosomal RNA
Rfam family: 5.8S ribosomal RNA (bases 1-120)
Source: RNAcentral